CUGGUUGCUUUUGACUGCAGGUUCAGCAGCAGGUUCGUGUUCAGCAGAUGUUUGUUUUGUCUCCUUUGCUCUGAAGUUUGAAGAAAACACAAAGAGAAGGGAAAUAGGACAUUACUCCAUCGUUACCUGAAAAACAGUGCUGAUGAUGUUGUCAUGCCUAAGCCAUGUGCUGCUCUUGCUCACCUUCGCAUCCAUCACAGUACCUGUAUCAGCUGUCCCUACUGUACAGGUGAAGUUUAAUCAGUCUGCUGCUCUGCCCUGUGAAUGGAACUGUUCUCGUGAGGCCAAAUGGACUCUGCUCAGUAAUGGAGAUGUUGUAGUGGCUCGGUGUAAUCAGACAUCCUGCUGGUCAGAAGAGGGAUUUAAAAUGUUCCAUGAUCAGUACCUGAAGGGAGAUCUCACCCUCACCAUCACUGCAGCUGAUUACAGUAUGAGGGGUUUAUACACGUGUGAGUGUGAUGGCACAGACAUUAAUGACCUGCGUC
Long non-coding RNA from Pangasianodon hypophthalmus (striped catfish), 485 nucleotides. RefSeq lists it as uncharacterized. The record is from RefSeq and is a predicted model, not a curated record. The transcript is spliced from 3 exons. Lineage: Eukaryota; Metazoa; Chordata; Actinopteri; Siluriformes; Pangasiidae.